RNAcentral lists this ribosomal RNA (497 nucleotides) under uncultured bacterium. RNAcentral describes it as "partial 16S ribosomal RNA". It matches the Rfam family "Bacterial small subunit ribosomal RNA", at positions 28 to 507 of the family's 1533-position model. The record is from RNAcentral.
GAUGAACGCUGGCGGCGUGCUUAAUACAUGCAAGUCGAGCGAACGGACGAGAAGCUUGCUUCUCUGAUGUUAGCGGCGGACGGGUGAGUAACACGUGUAUAACCUACCUAUAAGACUGGGAUAACUUCGGGAAACCGGAGCUAAUACCGGAUAAUAUUUUGAACCGCAUGGUUCAAAAGUGAAAGACGGUCUUGCUGUCACUUAUAGAUGGAUCCGCGCUGCAUUAGCUAGUUGGUAAGGUAACGGCUUACCAAGGCAACGAUGCAUAGCCGACCUGAGAGGGUGAUCGGCCGCACUGGAACUGGGACACGGUCCAGACUCCUACGGGAGGCAGCAGUAGGGAAUCUUCCGCAAUGGGCGGAAGCCUGACGGAGCAACGCCGCGUGAGUGAUGAAGGUCUUCGGAUCGUAAAACUCUGUUAUUAGGGAAGAACAUAUGUGUAAGUAACUGUGCACAUCUUGACGGUACCUAAUCAGAAAGCCACGGCUAACUACGUG